RNAcentral lists this ribosomal RNA (324 nucleotides) under Triticum aestivum (bread wheat). RNAcentral describes it as "partial small subunit ribosomal RNA". Lineage: Eukaryota; Viridiplantae; Streptophyta; Magnoliopsida; Poales; Poaceae. The record is from RNAcentral.
AUGCGCCUUUUAUUAGUAGCUGCGGAUUUAUAUUUAGCAAGUGAAGUGGUGAUGGUAAAGCUCGACAAUUUUUUGUUUGUUUGUGUAACCUGGAAGAAUGAUUUGGAUGAAUGGCCCUAUAGAACAAGGCUCCCUCCCUGUGUGUACAUUCUUUACUGUGUCUGUUGGGUUACUUACCAUGCUACGGUGUACAGCCCUGUCCUGGAUGGAUGGCUGGGGGUCCGAAUACCUGCCCUGUGCUGUGCAAAAAACAUCCAAAUUUGGCACUUGUUUGCAUCCGAAUCGGGCAGAUUUGUUCAAAGUAACAUCCUGCAAAAGUCAUGA